RNAcentral lists this transfer RNA (69 nucleotides) under Sapayoa aenigma (broad-billed sapayoa). RNAcentral's name for it is "tRNA-Asp". Lineage: Eukaryota; Metazoa; Chordata; Aves; Passeriformes; Tyrannidae. The record is from RNAcentral.
GGGCUGUUAGUAAAAUAUUUACAUAGCCUUGUCAAGGCUAAAUUACAGGUGAAACCCCAGUACAACCCA